Molecule: ribosomal RNA, 440 nt
Filed under: uncultured bacterium
Lineage: Bacteria
Description: partial 16S ribosomal RNA
Rfam family: Bacterial small subunit ribosomal RNA
Source: RNAcentral
CUACGGGUUGCUCCAGUGAGGAAUAUUGCACAAUGGGGGGAACCCUGAUGCAGCAACGCCGCGUGGAGGAUGACGCAUUUCGGUGUGUAAACUCCUUUUAUAUGUCAAGAAAAUGACGGUAGCAUAUGAAUAAGCACCGGCUAACUCCGUGCCAGCAGCCGCGGUAAUACGGAGGGUGCAAGCGUUACUGCGGAAUCACUGGGCGUAAAGGACGCGUAGGCGGGUUGGAAAGUCAGGUGUGAAAUCCUACAGCUUAACUGUAGAACUGCACUUGAAACUUCUAAUCUAGAGUAUGGGAGGGGGAGAUGGAAUUAGUGGUGUAGGGGUAAAAUCCGUAGAUAUCACUAGGAAUACCUAAAGCGAAGGCGAUCUCCUGGAACAUUACUGACGCUAAGGCGCGAAAGCGUGGGGAGCAAACAGGAUUAGAUACCCCGGUAGUC